RNAcentral lists this long non-coding RNA (1305 nucleotides) under Bemisia tabaci. RNAcentral describes it as "lncRNA ENSASIAIIG009093". The record is from RNAcentral. Lineage: Eukaryota; Metazoa; Arthropoda; Insecta; Hemiptera; Aleyrodidae.
UGAACACACGUUCAAUCUUUUUCAUGGAUUAAUUUUAAUGAGAGUAAAAUAAAUCGAUUCAUUAAAAUUAUUAUCGUUACGUAUAAUUAAACUCGACAAAACCCGCUUCGAUUUCCCAUUUGAGAAGCGUCAAUUCAAAUAAACCGCCGUUCACUUUACUGUAAUUGUUGGCAAUCUUGCACUCAUUUGACAACAAUGCAGACAGCCGGAAAGUACAAACAGUGAUACAUUGGAGUUUACGGGAGUGAACCUUCUGUUGGUGAAGCCUAUAUAUUCUGUGUUUUGAAGGAAGGGAGCUUUUCAUGUCAAUCGGUGUCUCUUUAAACUUUCAUUUUGUGUCUUGUCCUGAAAUAAAGUUUAGGUACGUGUUUUCGCUAGAUCUCUCCCACAAGCCGGCGUGUAACACCUCCUUGCAAUUGCUUUUAUAGCUCAAAGAAUCUGACAUCUACUCUCAAGGUAUCUGUAUGGAUUCAGCAAUGACUGAUGGCAGCUGGCGUUUCUCUCCUCCGUCGCCAAAAUGCCGAACAGGAGUAUAAGGCACUAACGCUAAAACUUGAAUCGCAGCUGUACUGGGACAUCCUUAAGAUUUACUCAGAGUCUGUUUUCUGUGAUGUAGAGAUUCAGUUCGAAAGUUCCUCUAUCAAAACACAUUCCAGCUUCCUAUCGCUGUAUGCGCCUCAAUUCUUUGCGGAGCUUCAGAAAUUGCAACAAACGCAGAAUCCUAUUUUUCUAAACAAAGCUAAAGACCACAUCGAAACCUUCAUCAGGUCUCUAUAUCAACCACCAAAAUCCUGUUUAAAAGAGAAAGAGCAAAAAACUCAUCAAAUGUCUUCCUUUCCUUCUAAAAGCAAAUGGUGAUGAGAGUCGAGACCUGUACUUGACUCCGGACUCAACCAAUGAGCCGGAAAGCGACCAUGAUGACUCCCACAGCCACUUAGUGCCAUCUUAUUUCAGUACAAACCAACUCUACUAUGCUCUCAUCACCCUUGAUGAAUCUUUCAUAAACGAUUCAGGUGUCGAGCAACUUGAAAAGGAACUCAGUGAACAGGACCAGCUAUCCCAAUCACUCUUGUCACUCAAAGAAAGCACCAUCAGGAAGACCGUUCCAGAAAUCAAAAGCAGCAAGGAAAACUCCCUCUCGAAAAGAAGUGGGAGUAAAGCCAGACGGCUGUCAUCCAGGAUCAAUGAUGAAAUGAGCGAUUCCGAAAAGGUGAGAAGAUUAAAAAUAAUGGGGCUGUUGCUGUCAGUGUUCGAAACUCACCUUUGAGUUUUAGGAGCCAUGUGGUGCAUCAAGUUCGAUUUUUA